GGGGUUGUGGCUCAGCGGUAGAGCAUUCGCCUAGCAUGUGCAAGGUCCUGGGUUCGAUCCUCAGAACCACA
RNAcentral lists this transfer RNA (71 nucleotides) under Marmota marmota marmota (Alpine marmot). It matches the Rfam family "tRNA". Rfam says of the family: Transfer RNA (tRNA) molecules are approximately 80 nucleotides in length. RNAcentral also lists the same sequence under 2 other names. The record is from Rfam by way of RNAcentral. Lineage: Eukaryota; Metazoa; Chordata; Mammalia; Rodentia; Sciuridae.